AUGCACGCUGGCGGCGUGCCUAAUCCAUGCCCGUCGAGCGAACAGACGAGGAGCUUGCUCCUCUGACGUUAGCGGCGGACGGGUGAGUAACACGUGGAUAACCUACCUAUAAGACUGGGAUAACUUCGGGAAACCGGAGCUAAUACCGGAUAAUAUAUUGAACCGCAUGGUUCAAUAGUGAAAGACGGUUUUGCUGUCACUUAUAGAUGGAUCCGCGCCGCAUUAGCUAGUUGGUAAGGUAACGGCUUACCAAGGCAACGAUGCGUAGCCGACCUGAGAGGGUGAUCGGCCACACUGGAACUGAGACACGGUCCAGACUCCUACGGGAGGCAGCAGUAGGGAAUCUUCCGCAAUGGGCGAAAGCCUGACGGAGCAACGCCGCGUGAGUGAUGAAGGUCUUCGGAUCGUAAAACUCUGUUAUUAGGGAAGAACAAAUGUGUAAGUAACUAUGCACGUCUUGACGGUACCUAAUCAGAAAGCCACGGCUAACUACGUG
RNAcentral lists this ribosomal RNA (496 nucleotides) under uncultured bacterium. RNAcentral's name for it is "partial 16S ribosomal RNA". It matches the Rfam family "Bacterial small subunit ribosomal RNA", at positions 29 to 507 of the family's 1533-position model. The record is from RNAcentral.